GUAGGUGGCAAGCGUUGUCCGGAAUUAUUGGGCGUAAAGCGCGCGCAGGCGGUUCUUUAAGUCUGAUGUGAAAGCCCACGGGCUCAACCGUGGAGGGUCAUUGGAAACUGGAGAACUUGAGUACAGAAGAGGAAAGCGGAAUUCCACGUGUAGCGGUGAAAUGCGUAGAGAUGUGGAGGAACACCAGUGGCGAAGGCGGCUUUCUGGUCUGUAACUGACGCUGAGGCGCGAAAGCGUGGGGAGCAAACAGGAUUAGAUACCCUGGUAGUCCACGCCGUAAACGAUGAGUGCUAAGUGUUACGGGGGGUUUCCGCCCCUUAGUGCUGCAGCUAACGCAUUAAGCACUCCGCCUGGGGAGUACGGCCGCAAGGCUG
This 374-nucleotide ribosomal RNA is filed under the name uncultured organism. RNAcentral describes it as "partial 16S ribosomal RNA". It matches the Rfam family "Bacterial small subunit ribosomal RNA", at positions 527 to 896 of the family's 1533-position model. The record is from RNAcentral.